CGAUCAGUAGGGGUUCUGAGAGGAAGGUCCCCCACAUUGGAACUGAGACACGGUCCAAACUCCUACGGGAGGCAGCAGUGAGGAAUAUUGGUCAAUGGGCGAGAGCCUGAACCAGCCAAGUAGCGUGCAGGAAGACGGCCCUAUGGGUUGUAAACUGCUUUUAUAAGGGAAUAAAGUGAGUCUCGUGAGACUUUUUGCAUGUACCUUAUGAAUAAGGACCGGCUAAUUCCGUGCCAGCAGCCGCUGUAAUACGGAAGGUCCGGGCGUUAUCCGGAUUUAUUGGGUUUAAAGGGAGCGUAGGCCGGAGAUUAAGCGUGUUGUGAAAUGUAGACGCUCAACGUCUGCACUGCAGCGCGAACUGGUUUCCUUGAGUACGCACAAAGUGGGCGGAAUUCGUGGUGUAGCGGUGAAAUGCUUAGAUAUCACGAAGGACUCCGAUUGCGAAGGCAGCUCACUGGAGCGCAACUGACGCUGAAGCUCGAAAGUGCGGGUAUCGAACAGGAUUAGAUACCCUGGUAGUCCGCACGGUAAACGAUGGAUGCCCGCUGUUGGUCUGAACAGGUCAGCGGCCAAGCGAAAGCAUUAAGCAUCCCACCUGGGGAGUACGCCGGCAACGGUGAAACUCAAAGGAAUUGACGGGGGCCCGCACAAGCGGAGGAACAUGUGGUUUAAUUCGAUGAUACGCGAGGAACCUUACCCGGGCUUGAAUUGCAGAGGAAGGAUUUGGAGACAAUGACGCCCUUCGGGGUCUCUGUGAAGGUGCUGCAUGGUUGUCGUCAGCUCGUGCCGUGAGGUGUCGGCUUAAGUGCCAUAACGAGCGCAACCCCUCUCCUUAGUUGCCAUCAGGUUAAGCUGGGCACUCUGGGGACACUGCCACCGUAAGGUGUGAGGAAGGUGGGGAUGACGUCAAAUCAGCACGGCCCUUACGUCCGGGGCUACACACGUGUUACAAUGGCAGGUACAGAGAGACGGUCCCUUGCAAAACGGAUCAAAUCCUUAAAGCCUGUCUCAGUUCGGACUGGGGUCUGCAACCCGACCCCACGAAGCUGGAUUCGCUAGUAAUCGCGCAUCAGCCAUGGCGCGGUGAAUACGUUCCCGGGCCUUGUACACACCGCCCGUCAAGCCGUGAAAGCCGGGGGCGCCUAAAGUCCGUGACCGUAAGGGGCGGCCUAGGGCGAAACUGGUAAUUGGGGCUAAGUCGUAACAAGGUA
This 1211-nucleotide ribosomal RNA is filed under the name metagenome. RNAcentral describes it as "bacterial SSU rRNA". It matches the Rfam family "Bacterial small subunit ribosomal RNA", at positions 277 to 1498 of the family's 1533-position model. The record is from RNAcentral.